AAAAUUUAAAAAUGGCAGAGUUACAAAAAAUAUUUUUAAAUUUUAUUUAUUUGAUUUUAGGUUUUGGGAAAUUUGAAAUAGAAAUGGUGGCCCCGAAUGGACUCGAACCAUCGACCACUACCA
This 123-nucleotide antisense RNA is filed under the name Campylobacter concisus 13826. RNAcentral's name for it is "Bacterial antisense RNA HPnc0260". It matches the Rfam family "Bacterial antisense RNA HPnc0260". Lineage: Bacteria; Pseudomonadati; Campylobacterota; Epsilonproteobacteria; Campylobacterales; Campylobacteraceae. The record is from Rfam by way of RNAcentral.